UUUGUUUGUCCCGUUCAGCUGUUGGGUCAAGCAGAAAGGAAGAUCUGUAUCCCUUUUAUGCCGGAACAGAUUGUGUGUCACAGUGGACUUUUUAAGCUGCCACUGUGGUUUAUUUGUAUUCUGAUGGAUAUUUAUUGAGAAUUACAGUUGUUCAGUCAAACAACAGUGACAGAAAAAACAAAGGAGAGAGUCAAAAGGUAACUAAAUAAUAGGAAAAGACAAAAAAAGGCAAAGCAGUUGCUGUGAACAAGAUGAGGAAAGUAAAGCAUUAUUUAAUUAGUACAAUGACACAUUGGAUUUGAGUGUUGUAUGGGUCAGUAGUGCUACACCCUGUGAGGGAAGGACAUGACAAUAUAGGACAGGACAGUGACAGGAGGUGAUGCUUGUUGACCUGGCUGUACAACUGAAGUGUGGUGGUAGUGGCUAUGUAAACAUCCCCGCGGAACCGCAAAGCACAUGUAACAUUGGCGACAAAAGCUGAUCCGCUAGUACAUCUUGUAUUAAAUAGGAAACAUGGCUACAAUUAUCUAAUUAGUUUACGGAUGCUAAUGUUAAAUGUGUUAAGAGACAGAGUGAUGUUAGGGAUUAUGUCACAACACAGAAUAAACUAACUUCAAAUUCAGAAAUAGCCAAUAACAACAGAAAAAUAUUGUACUUAAUGUUUUCCUGGAGGAUGCAUUUGGGAUGAGCCUUUGAAGUUGGUAAUAGUGAAAAAUGAAGUGUAACAGACAAUGAUUUUAAUUAAUUAUUUUCCAGAAUGAGUGUGCUUAAAGAGGAGGAUGCUAUUCAUGUGGCACAGUUUGAAGCAGGUGCAGGUGGAGAUGGGCCUGGCUCAAGUUGGAGGCCAAAACAAAAAAGCAAAGAAAUGAGGCAAAUUUAAUUAGAAUCUUAAAUGUGUACAUCAACAUGUACUUGAGCGGUGUAAAUAAAAAACAAUUCUACUUGAAGAACAUUUAUUUUGCCUUAUUGUACUCUUCAGAGUCUUCCAGAUUGCCUUAUUUAUGUUAAAAAAUAUAUUUUUUUAUAUCUCUGUGGGGACCCGGGGGAUCUCCCCAGAACCCCUCUACGUAUUUUAUUUUAUUUUUUAUUUUUUUUGUCGUCACCAUUUUCAUGCCUUUGGUGUUAACGUGUGUAAAAAGAAGUUUUUGCAACCACGGUGUAGUUCCCAGAUAAGAGUUGGCCUAGCUUUUAUUUCUUCUUCCUUUUGCUACUACUAUUUCUUCUGUGUAUUCCUGGGCGGUCUGGAUGCCCUGUGACAUCGUGCUGCCUCUCUGGUCAGUCUUUAUAAGAUGACAGAUAUUGCCGCCUGUUCAUCACCUCGAGUACACCACGUACGAGCAAGAGGAGCAAUAUGACAUUUGAGAAAGACAAUGACGGAAUAUCCCCCUUGGAAUCAGCCCUUAUGCAGCUGGAAAGUUUGAGUCAGGAAAUUGAUGUUCAAAAAGAGGACUUAAAAAAUGUUUGUACCUUAGUGAAGGAGAUGAUUGUGAAGCUUUUUAUUAAGAACAAAGAUUUUAUCAAAGCUAAAGAGGCGAUCCGCCAUUUGCCCAAAUCAAUGGUUGCCAAGAAACAAAUUUUCAUGGAUCUCAUCAGUAAGAAGAGCAACAAGCAUAAAGUCAUUGAGGAACUUGACUUCAAACAGUUAAAGGUCGAGAUCUCAGCUUUUUGCCUGAAAUUCUGCUCAUUCUCUGUUCCCUUUCUUCACAAGGCUGCAAAGCAGCUCAUCGAUCAACUCAACAAGCAAAACGCUGAGAGCACGACAACCGAUGAGUCAGAUGAAUGUGGCCCCUCCAAUCGGCCUUGUGCACAAGUAAACAUCCAGCUGCGGAUAUGUGAACAUUCAAUUAUCCCGAAGGAGAGACUGAAGUCAGCCUACCAGGCUUUGGCAGCAGGUCUGGUGUUACCAUUUUCUCACCUGGAGGAAGAAGUUGAAAAUGAAACGGCUAUCGCCAUCCCAGCUCCUGAAAUAGAGGACACAAAUAAAAACUCGGAGAACGAAGAGAGUUUCCAAACAAACUCUUGCAGGCCUCUUGAGGUCACCCCGCCCACUCAAACAGAUGCCCCUCCUCAAUCCAAGACUGGUUCACCGCAUAACACCGACAGGAAAGAGACGAGGGCCUCUGUGUUGAAAUGGCAGCAUCACAACAUAGCGAAGAUGGUGAUGCAGCCGGACAGUCAGCCAAGCUUGUUGUAUGCUACCCCUCAGGAGCAGGAGGCUGCAGUGAGAGUGCAGGAGCCGGCGGAGUCGCAAACUGUAGCCUGUCAAAUCCCUCAAACUGACACAGAGGUUGUCCCGCUGAUGAGACCUCAAUUACCCACACAUACAAAGAGCAGAUCGUCCUCUAAUGAUGAUGAGGCAUCUCCACAAUGUGAAGAGCAAUCUUCUAGCUCAGCAGGAAGCAAACGAGUCUCUCUGAAAACAUGUAACGAAGCUUUUCCAAAUGGAUCUUCCGCUGAUGAUGAGACAUCUCCUCAAUGUGAGGAACAAUCCUCUAGCUUAGCAGGAAGCAUGGAAGUCUCUCGAAGAACAUGUAACCAGGCUUUGCCAAAUGGAAAGAGCACUGAAUCAGAAGAGUUAUCAGCAAUCACUGUCCAUGUGGUGCAGGAUUCUCCAGUAAACAAUGAAACUCCUGUGGAAAAACAGAGCAGCGAUUCUCUGAGCAAGUUUAUGGGAAAUACAAAUGAAGUCAUAAUCACUGAUUCCUCACUGGACUGUUCGCCUUCUUUGAUUCAUCAAUGCCGCUCCCCUCAAAAAUGUUCCACUCCUAAUAAGGACACCUCCCGCACGAAAUGGAAGAAUAUGUUAAGCAACGCCAAGGAGACCAAGGUCAAUUGGACUGAAGAAGAGGAGCUUUUCAAUGAGUCAUUUAACAAGAGCUCAUCUUCGAGGAAGAGGCUCCUGUGGCAGGCCAUGCUUUCUCAGAUGCCGCAGGAAGUAGAGACUGUAAUUCCCAGGAACUUGAAGGUCUCGACGGUUGACAUAAGGCAGCUGGACAGCGUGAGGGGCAGCUGUGGUGAAGGAUGCCUCCUGAAGUCCACGAUCAUCUCUACAGUCUUGAGCCUGUUCAGCUCCAGGUUGUGUCAGCCGCACCACAGCUCCAGCCGCUCCACUUCCUGUCGAUAUGGAGACUCGUCACCGUCCUUGAUGAGGCCGAUGACAGUGGUGUCAUCUGCAAACUUCAGGAGUUUGACAGCCGGGUGCGCUGAGGUGCAGUCAUUCAUGUAGAGAGAAGAGCAGCGGAGAGAGGACACAACCUUGGCGCGCCCCGGUGCUGAUGCUGCGUGUAGAUGAGGUGGCCUCCCCCAGCCUCACCUGCUGUGUCCUGCCCGUCAGGAAGCUGUAAAUCCACUGGCAGAUAGCAGGAGAAGCGUGGAGGAGAGGAGUUCGGGGAUGAUGGUGUUGAAUGCAGAGCUGAAGUCCACGAACUGGAUCCUCACAAGUGGACAGAAGAGGAAAGCCAGAAGCUGAGGAAUGGAGUCAAAAAAUUCGGAGAGGGCAACUGGAGCAAGAUUAAGGCUUAUUACUCUUUCCGCGAAAGGACAAAUGUCCAUCUAAAAGACCGUUGGAGGACGAUG
This is an RNA transcript of Phyllopteryx taeniolatus (common seadragon), 3576 nucleotides long. It is a transcript of the gene named telomeric repeat binding factor a, with no coding region annotated. The transcript is spliced from 14 exons. Lineage: Eukaryota; Metazoa; Chordata; Actinopteri; Syngnathiformes; Syngnathidae. The record is from RefSeq and is a predicted model, not a curated record.